This 451-nucleotide ribosomal RNA is filed under the name uncultured bacterium. Its description in RNAcentral is "bacterial SSU rRNA". It matches the Rfam family "Bacterial small subunit ribosomal RNA", at positions 328 to 793 of the family's 1533-position model. The record is from RNAcentral.
UAGCCAGACUCCUACGGGAGGCAGCAGUGGGGGAUAUUGCACAAUGGGGGAAACCCUGAUGCAGCGACGCCGCGUGGGCGAAGAAGUAUUUCGGUAUGUAAAGCUCUAUCAGCAGGGAAGAAAGAAAUGACGGUACCUGACUAAGAAGCCCCGGCUAACUACGUGCCAGCAGCCGCGGUAAUACGUAGGGGGCAAGCGUUAUCCGGAUUUACUGGGUGUAAAGGGAGCGUAGACGGCAGUGCAAGUCUGAAGUGAAAGGCGGGGGCCCAACCCCCGGACUGCUUUGGAAACUGUGCUGCUGGAGUGCAGGAGAGGCAAGUGGAAUUCCUAGUGUAGCGGUGAAAUGCGUAGAUAUUAGGAGGAACACCAGUGGCGAAGGCGACUUUCUGGACUGUACCUGACGCUGAGGCGCGAAAGCGUGGGUAGCGAACGGGAUUAGAUACCCCCGUAC